GAACACACAUAUACUGAAUAUUAAGAGUAUUACAUCCAACGUACCGUUUGAUACAACAAAUGAGCAUCAUCGUCAAGUCUCAUAUAGAAAGGGCCUAUAAGGCCAAUUACACCGAUACAUCUACUAGCGGAAAUAUUGGUAAUAAACGGGAGCCCAUGCCAUCAGCCUUCACCAACAUGCAUUCUGACUGGGAAGCAUCCUAGUUCACGUGUCCGUCUCCGAUGACGAAUUCUUCUCCAAACUCCGGUUCCUCCAUGUCUGGUCAAUAAAAUAACCAGUGGCAAGCCAGUGAGUACUUUGAAUGUACUCGCAAACAGCCCAUGAUAUGGAUAAUGUAGUUGGUGUGGUAAUAAAGUAAUAUGCAGACUUUGCGGAAAGCAAAUUUUUCGUAAGGAUGUACAUUGUCAAUUACUUGUAUGGAUAUGCAUCAUAAGCUAGAUGGUAUUCAUAAGUUGUACCCACAUGAUCCGAAAAACAUCCUUAUCACCCACGACUCGUGGUAUAUAUCAUACCCGAGGGAAGUACCCGAUCAUUGCCUUUCCCCUAACGAUUCUAGACAAAGAGUUCACUCGAUUGGUACCCAACCCACAUGAUGUACGUCUUACGAGCACCAACUCUAGACCGUAUCAUCCAUGCGGGGACCAAGGGUGUGCCGUGAACACAUAAAAACGGCAUAGUCGAACUACCUGGUACGACCCCGUCAUGAGAGUGACCACAUAUCACUCCCACCACUAGUAAUGUUGCUCAUUGCUAGCACCGACCAAAGUAAUCAAUAAAGCCCCGUCCCAUAAAGGGGUAUCGUGGUCGUACAUGUAAGGUUGGGACGGUCGACACAUCAUAAAUCUAAUCCCAUUUACGAAACCACUCACACAAAAUAUUUCUUGAUGCACCACUUCUUCACAAGUGGCCACCUAACUCAUCAUCACCCUCAGGCAUUAGUGGCACCCGACGUGGUUUUCGUAAAACCUUUGUUAUCAACUUUGUGUUACCAUCAUCAUGCACAUGCUCUUUCUAUGCAUAGCACUACUAUCUACUUGUCAAUAUGUUAUCAGUGUGACCCUCAUAAAUGAUAGGGUCAUGCUUAAUGCAAGUGGUCCAGAGGAGCUAUCGGAAACACCAUGCCGGGGUGCACCGAUCGUCCUUAACUAUAUGCAUCGGAGUACAAUUACCAAUGUGUCAUGCAUAGAAGUAUUUCUUAGACAUGGUCAAAGAGCCUCUUGCCUUGAUCAACUAUGUUCCGGGGUCUUCGGGGUCUUCGGGUUCAAGUACUUCGUCGAACGCGAAAUCUAUCGUCGCAAUAAUACUAAUAAAAUAAGAACCUCAUUCAAAAACACAGCACAAACUCACUUUAAAAAUGUUAUCCUAUUAUGAUCAAUCUUUAUUAUAGUUUGAAAAACAUUUGUUUCUUGUUUUGAUGCAAAAAGGUAUUUUUAAAACCUAAUUAACAGGGCCUAAAAUAUUUAAACUAGGCAUUUUAAUCAAAGUUAUGUAUAAAAGUUUUGACAAAAAUUGGUAAAAUAGAACUACUAAAUUUUACAUAUUUUUAGAAGAAUUGUGGUGGAAAAAUAUUUAGAUUUGACUAAAUAUUUAAUUUUACAAAAAUCAUUUAGAAUCAACAUAAAAAGAAACGGGGAAACGGGCUUAACCCUGGCCUGGCUCGGCAAGUGGCUGGGCCGGCCCAACUGGCCAACCGACAAACUAGCGAGCCAGCAGCCCAGGUGCGCGUGCACCCUCAUGUUUAAACCUGACGCAUGGGCCCCUGCAGUCAGUGGGAGAGAGAGGAGAGAGGGGGAGAGGCUGGCCACCACAGGUGGGGCAUGCCUGUCGGGGUCGUCUUCCUACUCUAGACAGAAGGGAGUGGGGGCACGCCGGCGGCGAUUCCGACGACCUCGUGGCCACAUGACGGCAGGAACGGCACCGAGGCAUCGCCGCCUACAUGCUGGUGGUCGAAUGAACAACGGGGAAGCCCUAUGUCACCGGCGAUGAGGUGGCCGCGCGAAGGUGCUUCGGGUGGUGGUGGAGUUUGGUGCUACGGACAGGGAAAUGCUCGGGGCAGAGGUGGGGAGGCUUGUUGAGCUCUCUACGCUCACGAAGGAGGUGAGAUGAGCACGAGAGCUGGCCUUUAGCCCGAGAUCAACGGAGCUCCGAAGCGGCGGGGCCUCGGUCGAUCUCGAGCACCAGAGCUCUCUCUGCUCGAAUGGGGUGGCUAGGACCUCCAUUGAGCAUCUCGAGGAGUGGCGUGGGGUGCUGGAGUGAAGGGGGAAGGCCUAUUUAUAGGCCAGCAACAGUACACCACGCGUGGGAGCAUCGGUGCUUUCACCGUGGCUGCAGGAGAGGGAGAGAGGGCUCGGGGUCGAUACCACGGUUUCGCGGACGUGGUUUGAGACCCCACAGACCAAACGAGAGAGAGGAGGCUCAGUGCACGCGUGCUGCGGGGCCGCACUCUUUUGGCGGAACCUGGCGCACGAGGGCACGUGUCACCCUGGUCAGCACAGAUGGGGAGAAGGGGCCCUAGGGCUGCCCUGAGUCAAGAGGUUUGUCGGAGACGCGAAGAGACCCCGAGGGGAGGUGAGAACCGGUCGGGGCUGGCCUCCUUUGCCUCGGGUGUGCCUUGUAGCGUGCCCAGAGCACAGAUUUGGCAUGCCACGGCAUGCUGGCGUGCUCUGGGGUGCUUUGGCCCUGUCUGACGUGUCCGGGGGUUGGCUUAGAUGCCCUUUAGCCGUUUGGGAGCCGAGGGUCUCACUGCUGGUCAAAGGAAGUGCUUGAAGAGGAGCUGUCAGGCUUGAUUCAGAAACUAAAUUGGGGAUUUUGACUCACCUGCUCGGAACCAUAGAGGGGCCACUCGUCUGCAGUUGAGGAGUGGUGCUGGCAGCUUGCACUAAGAGUUUAGUGGAAAGGGAGUGGGUGUAGAGGGUGUUAAGUGUUGUUUGACCAUCCAGGCAGAAGGUGAUUGAUAUGUGUUUGGGGUAGUUAACCUCCACCACUCAUGUUGAAAGUUAACAUGAUUGGGUUUAAUACAAAGUAGGAUGCUCCACCAAAUUUGAGCGCCAUUGGACAAGGUUGACAAUGCAAACUUGAAAUCCCCCAAAUGGGCAGUUCUGUCCUUUAAAAGAGAAUGUGGCUAAAUUAAUACCACAAAUCUAUUUUUUGGCAGGGUCUCUUCAUUUGGGGUGUUGAUCACUCGUGCAAAGCUUUAGGCCAUUUGGACAAACUUUUCUAUGUAGAGUUGCUUCAACUUAAUUCUGGAAACGGAAGGUCAUAGGAAUAUUUGGUGAACCAAAGAACCUUGGAAUAAGGUGAAACUUGGCAUGACCACCAAAUAUAACUUGGGAAGCAUGCUAGAAUUUUCUAGGAAUUUAUUGAAACUGUUUCCUUUGGAAAUAUUUCAAAAGGUCAAAACAGACAGAAUAGGUUUUCAAGGAUUUGCUCAAAUAUUUUGAACAUAAAUAGGGGUUGAAAAUCUUAUUAUGGAAAAUAUAUGUCCUGUGCAUAUCUUCAAUUUUCUCAAGUUUUUCUAAGGCAGAAAAAUAAUUUUCCAUUCAGAAAUAUCAUUUCUCACCUCAGAAAAGGACAUGCAAAUAAAAUAGAAAAUUAUUUUAUAAAAUAAAUAUUUUAUGACUUUGGAAAGUUAUAAUAGUGCCAAAAUCAUAAUACAAUCUUUGGGUGGAGGCACUCCCUUGGAAUCAGGGACUUGAAGUGCAAACCCAUAGCAAGGUUUUGAAAUGGUCAAAAAUGAGAAAAAGGAUCUUUUUGGAAAUCUCACGUUAUAAAAAUAUUAUUUUUGGAUCCACUCACUCAAGCAUACACACAAACAAUGGCAAUCAUGGCACACAAACAAUGGCAAUCAUGGCACUCAUAGCACUUGCUUAAAAAGUUAUAAUAAAUUCAGGUUUUUGAAAAGACUACAAUUGAAGUAAGGUAAAAACGUGUGUGACAAUACUGAAGAGAUGAGUAUAUGGAAAUCGCUUCCACUCUCCACAAGCUACAUCAAGUUCACAUAAAUACAACAAUAUACAAUCAUCAUGAAAAAGAGCAGGGUUCGACUAUGGACGAAAAUAAAUGAUAAAAGAACGACGUCCAUCCUUGCUAUCCUAGGUUGCCGGCGUGGAACCCAUCCUAGAUCGAUGAUGAUGAAGAAGAAGAAACUCCAAAAGCACAAUCAUCGCGCUCACAACAUAAUAUCACAUUACUUGUACUUGCAAUUGGUGUUGUAGUAAUUUGGGAGCCACAGGAACUCAGCAAUUUCAUUUCCAAAGGUAUCGAGACUAACAAAGCUUAAUUGGUGAGGCUGCAGCUAGCGACCAAGCAUUUAUUUGAGGUGGCUAACUUACGAGUACAAAAAUAAGAGGGGGUGAUCUACGCAUAUCGGAAGUGAACUAAUAAUGAUCAAGUGAAUGAUCGUGAACCCUACUUACGUCAGACAUAACCUCACCAUGUACUCGAUCGGAGAAGGAGCUCAAGAAAGAGACAGUCACAGUUACACACUUAGUUGGCAAGUUUUUAAUUAAGUUUACUUCAAGCUAUCUAGAACUGGAUGUUAAACAAAGUUUCCAAGUUUGCCACAUAACCGCGGGCAUGACUUUCCGAAAGAUUUAACCCUGCAAGGGUCCUCCAACUAGUCCAUCACAAACUACCACACGUUACGUCGGAAUGACCUCAAUCAGGGAAAACCUGUGAACUCCUCGGGUUCCUAUUGAAAAACCUCAACCUCAAGAAGUAUCCUCGGAAUCCCAUGCACGAGACGCUCGAGAAAGGUAAAACAGGUCCAGCAAGGCCGACCGCCGUGUCGACGAUCCCGAUAAGAGCUGUGUAUCUCGUUUUCACGACACGACGGAUAAGCACAAUGUACGGUGGCCUGAUAGAAAUCUCCCGAGUUGCCCCGGGUUGACCCUGCAAACGACUCUAGUUUGAACUAACACCAGCAGUACUGGCCCCCGUGUAUUAUGUUGAAUUAUUUCUCGGGUUCAUGACGCCCUAUGCUUUUCAACGGUGUUCAAUUUUAUCAUGUUGGGAAAAUAUAGUAUUAAUGUUGGGCCGUGUCAGGCGAGUUUUAUCCCAAAUUGAAAAUCUAGGGGUCCCCAUAACAACCCCAAGCAUGUUAGGAGCGCUCAUUUAUGGAACAUGACACCGGUAGACGAAACUAAGGGGGCAAAGGUGGAACAAAACACCAAGCUAGAAGGCCAAGGCUUCCACCUUUUACCAAUUAUAUAGGUGCAUUAAAUUAAAUAGCAAUUAUAUGGUGAUAUAACAAGGAACCAUGUCGGCACAUGGAUGCAACUGCACCUUCAACUAGCAACGCUAACAAAAGGUUGAGCAAGCGGUAACAUAGCCAAACAGUGGUUUGCUGGGACGUGGAAAAGGUUUUCAUGGCAAUGUUGGGAGGCAUAUUAAACAGGUGGUAGGCAGCGAGACAUAGCGAAAACGAGACAACUAGCAUGGCAAUGGUAGUAAUGGUAUCUAGAAAAAUGGUCAUCUUGCCUGUGACCUCUUGUAAGAAGAUUGAAUCCAUGAAGCAGACGAACCAACAUAGUCGAACGAAUCCUCACACUCCAAAGCGGUUCGGAACUCUAUCAAGAAGAAACAAACCGGAAACAAGAAUCAACACACGAUAUUCACCACGGCAAAUGCACGCUAUGAUGCACAACCUAAUAUGAUGCAUGUCCAAUUCAACUAUGCAAGGCAUGGCAUGGCAAUUCACAACAAUCAAACACUACACAUUAAGUGAAACUCCGCAUUCGAAUUAUUUAGUUCGCUCCCGUUUAGGUACACGACAAUUUUUUAAAUGUUGUUAGCAUGGCAAGAGAUGAAGGAUGUGAUUCUACAUGUAAUUCUAGUCGGUUUACACAUAGCUCACGUAAAACAGAGCUACCAUUAACUAUCUAUAGGCAGCUAUAGGCAUUGUAAAACAGUGACAAAAUCUGCUAUAAUGCAUGUCUUGAAAUAAAUAAAAGAUCAAAAGAGGGGAAAACAUAUAUGCAUGGGCCCAAUUGCAACUAAGUGAAGCCACCCAGAAUUGAAUCAGGCCCAAGUGGCUCAGUGUACGUCCGUGGAAACAAUAAAAGAGAGGCUUACGUGAUUUGAUCCCUGGACCUGGUGGAUGCCGAACUGCUGUCCUAGCCAACAGAGCUAGUAUCUGAUUAUGAUAUGAGAUGGAACUAUCCUAUUUGAAGUAGCGCUACAGAGCAACAAAAUAAUUCGAAUGCGGAGCAGGGUGCAGAUCAACAAAAACAGAGCAAAACAUAUUACUGGCUGACCUGGGAUUCGAACCCCAGAUCUCGGGGAUGAAACUGAGUGGUGCUAGGCAUCUCUGCUGCACUUGCUUGAGUGAAUUUCACACAGGUUAUUACUUAUAGAACUGAAGAAACGGCGGUUGGAGCNAGGUUUGCCUACGGGGAAUAGGAGGAUACAGUUGAUCCAGGCACGGGCAACCCAUUCCCAGUGACGAGAGGUCUUGGGGAAGCGCGGAUGGGCGACCUCCAUGGACGGCGGAGGCGGGUUCCGAUGUGUUCCUGUCAGGGAAGAAACAAGCAAGAGGGAGAGGAAUUAGAGGAGAGAGGAUAGGGAAGGUGGGGCAUAGGAAGGAUCCUAGCGCAGAGGAGCGACCUGUUCGCUCCAGCGACUCAUCGGCGUCGGGGUUAAGGCGAGGUGCUCCGGCGGCGGUAGCUUCGCCAGGGAGGCUUGUCAACGAGGCGGUCUGGUCCAAUGGAACGGCCGGCACGACAGGUGGGGCAGGCACGAGCGAGCACCAUGGCUUCCAGCUCCCUUGACGCGAGCGAGGCGUGAGCCUUGCAUCCCACCGAGCAAAGAAGCAGGGUGUCGCGGGAGCAGGUGGUUGCACGGGGCUAGAGACGGCUCUCCGGACGAGGUACUCGGUGCCAUGCGCCGCGACUGUGUGAUCGGCCGCGGAUAUGGUUGGCUGGAUGUGUCCGUGGCUGUGGGUUGGCUUGCGCUGGUUGGUCGAGAGGAGAUCCCGAGGGAGAGGGUGGCAGCGGCGCUGCAGGAAUUGAGGGAGUUAGUCUAGG
This 7022-nucleotide long non-coding RNA is filed under the name Hordeum vulgare. RNAcentral describes it as "long non-coding RNA (HVUL_LNC012049)". Lineage: Eukaryota; Viridiplantae; Streptophyta; Magnoliopsida; Poales; Poaceae. The record is from RNAcentral.